CCUACGGGAGGCAGCAGUGGGGAAUUUUGGACAAUGGGCGCAAGCCUGAUCCAGCCAUGCCGCGUGCGGGAAGAAGGCCUUCGGGUUGUAAACCGCUUUUGUCAGGGAAGAAAUCCUUUGGGUUAAUACCUCGGGGGGAUGACGGUACCUGAAGAAUAAGCACCGGCUAACUACGUGCCAGCAGCCGCGGUAAUACGUAGGGUGCGAGCGUUAAUCGGAAUUACUGGGCGUAAAGCGUGCGCAGGCGGUUGUGUAAGACAGAUGUGAAAUCCCCGGGCUCAACCUGGGAACUGCAUUUGUGACUGCACGGCUCGAGUACGGCAGAGGGGGAUGGAAUUCCGCGUGUAGCAGUGAAAUGCGUAGAUAUGCGGAGGAACACCGAUGGCGAAGGCAGUCCCCUGGGCCUGUACUGACGCUCAUGCACGAAAGCGUGGGGAGCAAACAGGAUUAGAUACCCUGGUAGCCCACGCCCUAAACGAUGUCAACUGGUUGUUGGGUGGGUUUCUACUCAGUAACGAAGCUAACGCGUGAAGUUGACCGCCUGGGGAGUACGGCCGCAAGGUUGAAACUCAAAUGAAUUGACGG
Molecule: ribosomal RNA, 585 nt
Filed under: uncultured bacterium
Lineage: Bacteria
Description: bacterial SSU rRNA
Rfam family: Bacterial small subunit ribosomal RNA
Source: RNAcentral